RNAcentral lists this ribosomal RNA (420 nucleotides) under uncultured bacterium. RNAcentral's name for it is "bacterial SSU rRNA". It matches the Rfam family "Bacterial small subunit ribosomal RNA", at positions 358 to 770 of the family's 1533-position model. The record is from RNAcentral.
GGAAUAUUGCACAAUGGGCGCAAGCCUGAUGCAGCCCUGCCGCGUGUAUGAAGAAGGCCUCCGGGUUGUAAAGGACUUUCAGCGGGGAGGAAGGCGAUGCGGUUAAUAACCGCGUCGAUUGACGUUACCCGCAGAAGAAGCACCGGCUAACUCCGUGACAGCAGCCGCGGUAAUACGGAGGGUGCAAGCGUUAAUCGGAAUUACUUGGCGUAAAGCGCAUGCAGGCGGUCUGUCAAGUCGGAUGUGAGAUCCCCGGGCUCAACCUGGGAACUGCAUCCGAAACUGGCAGGCUUGAGUCUCGUAGAGGGGGGUAGAAUUCCAGGUGUAGCGGUGAAAUGCGUAGAGAUCUGGAGGAAUACCGGUGGCGAAGGCGGCCCCCUGGACGAAGACUGACGCUCAGGUGCGAAAGCGUGGGGAGCA